GCAAACUUGGUCAUUUAGAGGAAGUAAAAGUCGUAACAAGGUUUCCGUAGGUGAACCUGCGGAAGGAUCAUUAACGAAUAUCUAUGGCGUUGGUUGUAGCUGGCUCUUAGGAGCAUUUUGUGCACGCCCGUCAUUCAUAUCAUCUUUCCACCUGUGAACCAUAUGUAGGCCUGGAUACCUCUCGCUUUGGCAACGGAGCGGAUGCAAGGAUUGCUGCGUCAACAAGGCCGGCUCUCUUUGAAUUUCCAGGUUCUAUGUCUUUUACACACCCCAUUUGAAUGAUGUAGAAUGUAGUCAAUGGGCUUUUAUGCCUAUAAAACACUAUACAACUUUCAGCAACGGAUCUCUUGGCUCUCGCAUCGAUGAAGAACGCAGC
Molecule: unclassified non-coding RNA, 376 nt
Filed under: uncultured fungus
Lineage: Eukaryota; Fungi
Description: partial contains small subunit ribosomal RNA, internal transcribed spacer 1, and 5.8S ribosomal RNA
Rfam family: Eukaryotic small subunit ribosomal RNA (bases 1-73)
Source: RNAcentral